GUCUCCCAACGUGCAUACCUUCCAUUUGCAUGUUGUUGUGAGCCACAUGGAAACUCGUACACACGUGGUGGCAGCCGUCUGCUGUGCUUUUUUUAGGCAGACAAUGGCUUACGAGUGGCCGUGUGCUUGUUGAACAACGGUGACCAAUUUGGCGUCUACGCCGUAUCUAGCUUCUGCCUGGACCGUCAGUUGCGAUGAAAGAUGCGGAGAAAGUUCCUUUGUUUUGGCUGCUAAUCAUCAUUGAUGAGCAGUAGCUUAAGGCAGAGUUGAGCAGACUUAAUGAGCCACGCUAGGUGGCCGCCAAAACCCAAAACACAACCGGUCUAUUUGACAUUGUUAUUUCAUUGUAUGUGUUGAAAAUGUACAAAUCUUGGCGGUGGAUCACUCGGUUCGUGGAUCGAUGAAGAACGCAGCCAGCUGCGAUAAAUAGUGCGAAUUGCAGACACAUUGAGCACUAAGAAUUCGAACGCACAUUGCGCUAUCGGGUUCAUUCCCGAUGGCACGUCUGGCUGAGGGUCGAAUUACGGUGAACUGUCUUCACGGUUUUUCUGGACUGUGAAGCAUUCGGCAAGCAAUUGCUGUUGUGUUGUUGGUGAUUCUAUCAUGGACAAUAUGACGAGCGGUUCCUUGCUUAGUGAUGACAAAAGAAGACGUCAACACCGAAUCUACUAUACUACUAAUACUAGUAUAUAGGUGAGGUGCUUUUGGUGGUCACAAAAGUGACAAGUAUGCCAUUUCAUAGGGGCAACAACCAGCAUACGUGAUAAGUUGGCUGGUUGAUGAAACGGCAACGGAAUGACGGACGUCUAUGUGAUCAAAAAUGAUACUAUUUGACCUCAGCUCAGUCGUGAUUACCCGCUGAAUUUAAGCAUAUAAUUAAGCGG
RNAcentral lists this ribosomal RNA (884 nucleotides) under Anisakis simplex (herring worm). Its description in RNAcentral is "eukaryotic LSU rRNA". The stretch from base 366 to 519 matches the Rfam family "5.8S ribosomal RNA". Lineage: Eukaryota; Metazoa; Nematoda; Chromadorea; Rhabditida; Anisakidae. The record is from RNAcentral.